RNAcentral lists this transfer RNA (76 nucleotides) under Coxiellaceae bacterium. RNAcentral describes it as "tRNA-Lys". It matches the Rfam family "tRNA". From Rfam's summary of the family: Transfer RNA (tRNA) molecules are approximately 80 nucleotides in length. Their secondary structure includes four short double-helical elements and three loops (D, anti-codon, and T loops). Lineage: Bacteria; Pseudomonadati; Pseudomonadota; Gammaproteobacteria; Legionellales; Coxiellaceae. The record is from RNAcentral.
GGGCCGUUAGCUCAGUUGGUAGAGCUGUUGACUCUUAAUCAAUAGGUCAUAGGUUCGAGUCCUAUACGGCCCACCA